RNAcentral lists this transfer RNA (70 nucleotides) under Marmota monax (woodchuck). RNAcentral's name for it is "tRNA.Ala". The record is from RNAcentral. Lineage: Eukaryota; Metazoa; Chordata; Mammalia; Rodentia; Sciuridae.
UGAGUUGUGGCUCAGAGGUAGAGUGCUCACCUAGCAUGCAUGGGACUGGGUUCGAUCCUCAGCACCACAU